GAUGAACGCUGGCGGCGUGCCUAAUACAUGCAAGUCGAGCGAACAGACGAGGAGCUUGCUCCUUCGACGUUAGCGGCGGACGGGUGAGUAACACGUAGGUAACCUACCUAUAAGACUGGGAUAACUUCGGGAAACCGGAGCUAGUACCGGAUAAUAUUUCGAACCGCAUGGUUCGAUAGUGAAAGAUGGCUUUGCUAUCACUUAUAGAUGGACCUGCGCCGUAUUAGCUAGUUGGUAAGGUAACGGCUUACCAAGGCAACGAUACGUAGCCGACCUGAGAGGGGGUCGGCCCAACCGGAACCUGGCAACCGGCCCAGCACCCGAGGGGGGGCACAGGGUGGGAAUUUUGCGAAAGGGGGGAAAGCCUGCGGGAGCAGCCGCGGGGGGGUGAAGAAGGUUUUCGGGCGGUAAAACUCUUUUUUUGGGGAAAAACAAAGGUGUAAGUAACUGGGCCGGUUUGACGGGAACCAAAAAAGAAAGCCCGGCUAAACUCGGG
Molecule: ribosomal RNA, 496 nt
Filed under: uncultured bacterium
Lineage: Bacteria
Description: partial 16S ribosomal RNA
Rfam family: Bacterial small subunit ribosomal RNA
Source: RNAcentral